GUGGAUUAGAUACCCUGGUAGUCCACGCCCUAAACGAUGAAUACUCGAUGUUAGCGAUAUACAGUUAGCGUCAAAGCGAAAGCGUUAAGUAUUCCACCUGGGGAGUACGCCCGCAAGGGUGAAACUCAAAGGAAUUGACGGGGGCCCGCACAAGCGGAGGAGCAUGUGGUUUAAUUCGAUGAUACGCGAGGAACCUUACCCGGGCUUGAAAGUUACUGAAGUAUCCAGAGAUGGAUGCGUCCGCAAGGACAGGAAACUAGGUGCUGCACGGCCGUCGACAGCU
RNAcentral lists this ribosomal RNA (283 nucleotides) under uncultured bacterium. RNAcentral's name for it is "partial 16S ribosomal RNA". It matches the Rfam family "Bacterial small subunit ribosomal RNA", at positions 773 to 1060 of the family's 1533-position model. The record is from RNAcentral.